GGGAACUUGUGGUUCCUGGAGUCUCCAAGAGUAGAAUGGGAACCAGAGCCUUUAGUUAUCAAGCUCCUCUACUGUGGAACUAUCUCCCGGUUUAGGGCCAGGAGGCUGACACCUUCUCUACAUUUAAACAGCACUGGUUAAAGUCACAAAUGACCUCCUCAUGGCAUCGGACCGCGGGCUUGUCUCCAUACUCGUUUUACUGGAUCUCAGUGUUGCUUUCGACACAGUAGACUACAACAUUUUAUUGCACAGAUUAGAACAUGAGACUAGGAUCACAGGGGCUGCGCUACGCUGGUUCAAAUCAUAUUUAUCAGAUAGAUUUCACUUUGUUCACGUUAAUGAUGUUUCCUCUUCA
Long non-coding RNA from Scatophagus argus, 355 nucleotides. RefSeq lists it as uncharacterized. The record is from RefSeq and is a predicted model, not a curated record. The transcript has 3 exons. NCBI's taxonomy places the organism in Eukaryota, Metazoa, Chordata, Actinopteri, Scatophagidae.